GUUAUGUUGGGUCUUAACUGACCCCAACAGUUCACACUCCUCAGACACCAAAGAAGGAAGGAAGUGUGUCCUCUGGUUACUCCUCUUGCAGCACUUACUCAAAUAUUUACUGAGGAAACAAAUACUCAGCUUUAGGAGAACGCUGGCUGUGUUAAAGAUGUGACUAAUAAUUUACGAUAGGAAAAAGUAAAUGUGAAGGUGGGGAGUGACUAAUUUCACAAAAAUCUACCCAGAACACCCUCUGCAUUAUACAAAGCAAGGGACCCAUAAUCAGGACUGCUAUACUCAUAUUUUCUGGAAAUAGCUCCAGCAGCUUGGACAGUUAUACCUGAGACUUCCAUGAAUAUCCAGAAAUGUAUUACUGCUUCUGAUGCAGUAGUUAAGAAGAUGGGCAAUGGAGUUAGGCAGACCUGGGGUUGAACUCUAGUGCUAUCCUUUUCCCAAUAUUCAUUUAUUAAAAAGUGCAAACCUCACAAAUAUGUUGCAAUGAUUAAAUGAGGGAAUAUAUACCAAGUACUGAAUAUAGUCCCUGGCACAGAUUGGGCCUAAUAAAGAAUUACCAUCACCAUAUAAAGGGACCCCUGCUCUUCUGCUUUUCUAUCCACGUUAUAGUGUUAUAUGGGCGGAGUUUUGAGUGCUCCUCAGAUAUGACUGCAGUUAGUCAUGAGUUCCCCCUUGAAGCAAAUACAAAAGUGAUAUUCUAAGAAUUGGUUACAAGAAGAAAAUACAAUACAGUAUGAGUGCUUGAAGUCCUGUGUAUCUAGAGCCUAUGAGUAUGAUGUUUCAUACUAGGCUAUAUAUAGUUACCCUAUUCUCAUCUCCACAGAACAAAAGUAAAACCAAACACCCACCACAAACCUAGCAGUAAAAUUCUCAGGUCCUUCCACUCAGGACACUAGAGAGGGCUUCCGAGCUAAGGACAAACCUACAUUCACUGAUGAAGGCACAGUGUUUAUGGCGGGAUUGCCAUGGCCACCGCAGAGGAAACCCAUUUUCCCUUUCAUGCACUGAAGGUAAGGGCAGUCAGUUUCAGUUAUGCAUUUGCUAGCUCCCUAUUCACCAAAGAUAGUUCUAUUUCUAAGGCUCUGAUAUUUAUUUCCAAAGAUUAACACAAUUAGAAGUACUUGCUGAUGGGAAGACCUGGUUGCCCACGAUAGGAAGGAAGAGGCUGCUACUGAAAGAAGACAUGGUUCCUGGGUUAAAGGUCUGGGCUGUAGUACUCUCUUCCUGUUGCUGACAGCAGGCUACUUGGAAUGUGGUGCUUCCUGUGUCUUGAACUUGCCUGGUUCAAGUCUGGACUGCUACUUUUAGUAGCAUCUGCAACUUACAAGCUUUAUAAAUAAGUGACUUAAUUUUUAAAAAUUCAAAUAUUUGGCAACUGAAACAGCUUGACUUUUCUGUCUGCCUACUUAAUUAAGCAUGUUAUCAAUGAAGAGCUUUUCUUUAAAUCCUCAGAGAUGGUAUAGUUAACAUAGAACAGUAGUCACUAUAUCUUAAGUUUAAAAAGUAAAAUGAAGAAGUCUUUAUCUGAGGGUUAUUUUCAACAAUCUAUAAAGGAGGGGAUUGUUUUAGGCAGUUAAUGAAGGCACUGAGGCAAAGAAAGGAGGGAGGAAUCAAUUCAAGUUCAGUACCCAGACCAACAAGGGGCUCUGCGGUAUUUUCUGACAGAAAGUCAGCUUGGUACCAUUAUAACUUCAUAAAAAGAUGUUCACAAAUAAGAAAACAAACUCAGAGAAAGUCUGCAGUAUUCAUCACAUAAAGAGAAAAAAAGUCCUUUAAAAAUCCAAGCCAUUAGAAGACACUUUCUGUGGAAAAUGUUUUAAAAACUGAAAAUGACUAGAUAAAGAACUAUUGGAGAAACACUUUUUCAAGAGGUUUGGCCACCCCUAAAUCACUGACUUUAUGGAAUAUUUAAUGGAAUAUAGUGCCCUAGAGCAUGGAGGUUACUCAUGAACACCUAUGCUCAGCAUAUGCUAUAAUUGUCCACCUAACGGGAAAUGCAAGGGGUUGCAAGGCUGGGAGCAACAGAGGGUCCUGGAACCUCAAAGUCCUGAGCCACAGGAAAGCUUCUCAUGGCUUCACCGUUUCCCUGAGCUGACUGCUUUAUUCCUCCCAAGUGUAACAGGCAAGGGGCGUGUCCUUCUCUAGUGUGUUCAUGCGGUUCAUGCUUUGUGAUUUCUAUAGCCAUGAAGAACCCCGACCCAAACUGCCAGGAAGACCUGCUUGAAACCUAACGCACUUAGACAUAUGGGACUAACCCUGAAAAUAAAAACAUCUUUAUGCUAAGAGGAAAGGAGUUUUUUUAAAUUAAAAAAAAUGUUUCUAGGUAUAUCAGCUUUCCUUUGGGGCUUGCUUUCAGAAUUCAGCAGCAGCUCAGGUUUACUGGGAGCAUGGAGCAUUCCGCUUGCAGAGAAGGGCUGGGUUAUGGGAACUCAGGAUUUGUGCAACAGCCUCACCACACGUGAAGGAAAACCUCUAGAGGAAUCACCAGCUACUCACGUUUCAAGAUAUUUCUUCUCUCCAGCUCUUCCACGGCAGGUCUUUGGCUCAGCCGUCUGCGGAAAAACACUAAAAUUACAUUUUGCACCAUAGUGG
This 2595-nucleotide long non-coding RNA is filed under the name Homo sapiens (human). RNAcentral describes it as "HSALNT0269934". Lineage: Eukaryota; Metazoa; Chordata; Mammalia; Primates; Hominidae. The record is from RNAcentral.